AGUGGUCAGGGAUGAUGGGAAUUGUAGUCCCAAAACAUCUGGAGCAGUAAUAGGCAAACUCAGGCCUCCAGAUGUUUGGGGACUACAGUUCACAUCAUCCCUGACCACU
Podarcis lilfordi (Lilford's wall lizard) is the source of this 109-nucleotide non-coding RNA. The record is from the annotation of a GenBank genome assembly. Lineage: Eukaryota; Metazoa; Chordata; Lepidosauria; Squamata; Lacertidae.